Molecule: non-coding RNA, 266 nt
Organism: Caenorhabditis elegans
Lineage: Eukaryota; Metazoa; Nematoda; Chromadorea; Rhabditida; Rhabditidae
Source: Ensembl
AAAAAAUGGAAAAAUACAAGAAAAUAGAGACUAGAGAUUGCAUAGGUUUUGCGGUGGCGAAACCGCACACAUUUUUGUCUGUGUUAUCUCUAAUUUUACGCUCUCGGUGUUCUCUAUUUACUGUCCAGAAGAAUGAAGAAUAUGGGGGAAAAGUGCGCGGGAAAAUUGAGAGACCGAGUGAUGAGAGCCGCAGUUUUGCAAAACUUUUUCGGGCAAUAAUCCGCCGGCGAGUACUACGAGAAGCACACACACAUACGAAAACUGUU